AAUAAACAGUUUCACCACCAGAUAACAAGAAAAGGUCAUCAAACAGUGCAAAAACUUCACUACUGGGCUGGUGAAUGGAAGAGACAACGGUCCUCCCAUCGCGAGCUAUGUUCCGGAGAGAUUGAACCACAAAGAAAGCAGAGGCACUGUCAAGGCCGCUAGUAGGUUCAUCCAGGAAUAACAUUUUGGGCAUCGUGAGGAUCUCAAGUGCAAUGCUAAGUCUCUUCUUCUCCCCACCACUUAUUCCUCUUC
This 252-nucleotide long non-coding RNA is filed under the name Gossypium barbadense (sea-island cotton). RNAcentral describes it as "long non-coding RNA (GBAR_LNC015969)". Lineage: Eukaryota; Viridiplantae; Streptophyta; Magnoliopsida; Malvales; Malvaceae. The record is from RNAcentral.